Molecule: long non-coding RNA, 1087 nt
Organism: Oreochromis niloticus (Nile tilapia)
Lineage: Eukaryota; Metazoa; Chordata; Actinopteri; Cichliformes; Cichlidae
Exons: 2
Source: RefSeq, a predicted model, not a curated record
GUGUCAGUAUAGGCCGACCUGUGUUCAUUUUCGGUGUGUUUGUCUCCUCAUUUUCAUGUUUGGCUCUGUAAUGCCUCUGUAACACUGAGGAGGUGCUUUUGUUUGUAAGAAAGCUCCGCAGAACAGAUGCAACAUUUAUCCUGCAUAAAAUGAAAUAAAUAAUUUACACUUCAAGUCACAUUGCUGUUUUUCCUAUUCUGAUAGAUUACACUGAAACAAACAGUUACCUUAUUUGCAGUUAAAAGAUCAAAAUGAUCCCACACAGCAGAAACGUUUCUUUUUCUUUCGGGCUCCAUUUUGUUAUGGAGAGAUGUGUAUUUUUUUUUCUUUGCCAGAGUAAUUUUGUGGGGGGUUUUUUGGUGGCGACUCAUUCCGUUGGCAGAUGCGGAUACGGUACCUUUUAAACACAGUUUGGCGCGUUGGCAAUGAGCGAUACAGCAGCUGUAUCGAUCACGUGACUUUUUCUUAAAGUGACGCACGCACCGAUACAGGCAUCGCUAGACCACACCCACACCCCUCACCACUUUGUAAGCCUGCGGUUGCAUUACUGUGUUGCUGUACUGUGCUGUUAAGCUAAGGAAUCACAGUAAAGACGGUAUAACCUUUAACCGUGCGUCCAGUGUGUUCUGACCGACACCCCAAGGUGAACACCACUGCUAUUCAGCCAACGCCUAUACAGUCCUGGGUUCAACCCAAAUUAACAUAAGUGUGGAAGAACCACUUUCAACCUGAAGUCUGAAGUUACUCGUCCACACAGGACUGUGUGAGUAACCGAGGUGUUUCAGCUUUGAGUUUGUCUUAGGUAACGAGCGAGCAUCAGGCUUUAACGUAUCUUUACACUGCACGACUUUCUGAUUGUUGCUAACUGACGCUGACAUUUUGCAGAGCCUGGAGCCUAAGGGGUUGGAUUCCACUGAAUAUGUUUGUGUGUCGUCACACCCCAGUAAAUCUGAUCUUUGGGAGACGUCUGCAUGCAGAUUUUCAGUGACAGAGUGGGCUGCUGGUGGAGCAUGGUUUCUGUAAGAGCUUGUGUGUCUGGAUGCUGCACACGCUUUAACUCUGUCAAAGUGUGACUGUGUAGCAGAAA